UUCCGGUUGAUCCUGCCGGACCUUACUGCUAUCGGGGUGGGACUAAAACAUGCUAGUCGAGCGCCUCCAAGCUAUGGUGAAGGCGCGGCGAACGGCUCAGUAACACGUGGCCAACCUACCCUCAGGACGGAGACAACCCCGGGAAACUGGGGCUAAUCCCCGAUAGGUGAGGACGCCUGGAAUGACCCCUCACCCAAAGGACGUUGAAACCAUGCUUUUCAGCGUCGCCUAAGGAUGGAGCCGCGGCCGAUCAGGUUGUUGGUGGGGCAAAGGCUCACCAAGCCUAUAACCGGUACGGGCCAUGAGAGUGGGAGCCCGGAGAUGGGCACUGAGACAAGGGCCCAGGCCCUACGGGGCGCAGCAGUUGCGAAACCUCCACAAUGCACGAAAGUGUGAUGGGGCUAACCCGAGUGCCGUCCGCUGAGGAUGGCUUUUCUCCGCUGUAAGGAGGCGGAGGAAUAAGGAGAGGGCAAGACUGGUGUCAGCCGCCGCGGUAAUACCAGCUCUCCGAGUGGUAGGGACGAUUAUUGGGCUUAAAGCGUUCGUAGCCGGCCUGGCAAGUCUUCCGUUAAAUCCAGCGACCCAAUCGCUGGGCCGCGGGGGAUACUACUAGGCUUGGGAGCGGGAGAGGCCGACGGUAUUCCCGGGGUAGGAGUGAAAAUCCUGUAAUCCCGGGAGGACCACCAGUGGCGAAGGCUGUCGGCUAGAACGCGUCCGACGGUGAGGGACGAAAGCUGGGGGAGCGAACCGGAUUAGAUACCCGGGUAGUCCCAGCUGUAAACGAUGCGGGCUAGGUGUCGGUGUGGCUACAAGCCACGCCGGUGCCGCAGGGAAGCUCUUAAGCCCGCCGCUUGGGAAGUACGGUCGCAAGGCUGGAAACUUAAAGGAAUUGGCGGGGAACCCCCACCAGGGUGGAAGCUUGCCGUUCCAUUUGAAGUCACCGCCGG
Molecule: ribosomal RNA, 947 nt
Filed under: uncultured archaeon
Lineage: Archaea
Description: bacterial SSU rRNA
Rfam family: Archaeal small subunit ribosomal RNA
Source: RNAcentral